Molecule: transfer RNA, 85 nt
Filed under: Felis catus (domestic cat)
Lineage: Eukaryota; Metazoa; Chordata; Mammalia; Carnivora; Felidae
Rfam family: tRNA
About the family: Transfer RNA (tRNA) molecules are approximately 80 nucleotides in length. Their secondary structure includes four short double-helical elements and three loops (D, anti-codon, and T loops).
Source: Rfam by way of RNAcentral
ACCUGUGUGGCUUAGUCGGUUGAGUGUCUGACUUCAACUCAGGUCAUGAUCUCACAGUUCAUGAGUUCAAGUCCCAUGUCGGGCU